UCGUGUAGGCGGCCAAGCAGGUCCGUUGUGAAAACUGGAGGCUUAACCUCCAGACGUCGACGGAAACCGCGCGGCUAGAGUCCGGAAGAGGAGAGUGGAAUUCCUGGUGUAGCGGUGAAAUGCGCAGAUAUCAGGAAGAACACCAAUGGCGAAGGCAGCUCUCUGGGACGGUACUGACGCUGAGACGCGAAAGCGUGGGGAGCGAACA
This 208-nucleotide ribosomal RNA is filed under the name uncultured bacterium. RNAcentral describes it as "partial 16S ribosomal RNA". It matches the Rfam family "Bacterial small subunit ribosomal RNA", at positions 567 to 774 of the family's 1533-position model. The record is from RNAcentral.